RNAcentral lists this transfer RNA (74 nucleotides) under Candidatus Roizmanbacteria bacterium CG_4_10_14_0_2_um_filter_39_13. RNAcentral's name for it is "tRNA-Pro". It matches the Rfam family "tRNA". Rfam says of the family: Transfer RNA (tRNA) molecules are approximately 80 nucleotides in length. Lineage: Bacteria; Candidatus Roizmaniibacteriota. The record is from RNAcentral.
CGGGGCGUAGUUCAGAUGGCUAGAACGUUGGGCUGGGGGUCCAAAGGUCGCAGGUUCGAGCCCUGUCGCCCCGA